CUCAAGAGCAGGAUCUUAAGUGAAAAUAUGUGAGGACCCCAGCUAUUGAUGCAUAUUCACUUUGUGUCUUGACCCACCUUUGCUAGACGCAUCAUGGAGUCACCUGCAUGUCACAGGAAGAGAAUGGCACGUGCGAAACACGUCAACAAUCUAGUUAACACCUAUCAAGUCUGCUCCAAGACCUUUUCUGAGGUAGCUUGUCCCCCGUAUUUUGGUUUUAUAAAAGCUGCUGGAACAAACAUUUUGUACAUCUAAUUUUAUUUACUUGGGAAGAACUUUUUAUAGAAUCUACUUCUAGAUAUAAAAAGGGUCAUUUUUAAAGCAGACACUGUUGAAGGUGCUCUUAUCUACUCAAGAUAGAUUGUGACCCUCCUAGGCCUGUCCUCCCGGUGAGCGCCCAGCGUCUUCUGUGUUUCCUGAUCCCUUCAUCCAUAUCUCUCUUCAAUUCUCCCUUGACUCAGAGCAUCAUGAUAUGGACUGGAGACACAACUCGGAGUAAACCACAGUUUCCGAAGUCAUGGAAUUUACAUUCUAGUGCCAGGCUCAUUUUCCUCUCAGAACAAUCAUAGAAGCAGAACAUGAGAGUCAGAGAAGGAAUUUGAAGUUCAUCUUCAUUUAUCGUCUGCAGAUGUACUUCUCAUGCAACUUACUUCCUCUUCUCAGUUCGCUAAUGAUGUUGUUAAACAAAAUAGAACCCAACACUGACCCAUGAGGACAGCCGCUCACAUUCUGUGUUCAUUUUACGUCAAUCAUCCAUUCCAUCAAUGGAAUGUCUUAACUCAAAGUACUCGUACUGGGACAAGAACA
Molecule: long non-coding RNA, 807 nt
Organism: Tupaia belangeri chinensis (Chinese tree shrew)
Lineage: Eukaryota; Metazoa; Chordata; Mammalia; Scandentia; Tupaiidae
Exons: 7
Source: RefSeq, a predicted model, not a curated record